GACGAACGCUGGCGGCGUGCUUAACACAUGCAAGUCGAACGGAAAGGCCCUGCUUUUGUGGGGUGCUCGAGUGGCGAACGGGUGCGUAACACGUGCGUAACCUGCCCUUGACUUUGGGAUAACUUCAGGAAACUGGGGCUAAUACCGGUUAGGAGCUCCUGCUGCAUGGUGGGGGUUGGAAAGUUUCGGCGGUGGGGGAUGGACUCGCGGCUUAUCAGCUUGUUGUUGGGGUAGUGGCUUACCAAGGCUUUGACGGGUAGCCGGCCUGAGAGGGUGACCGGCCACAUUGGGACUGAGAUACGGCCCAGACUCCUACGGGAGGCAGCAGGGGGGAAUAUUGCACAAGGGGCGGAAGCCUGAUGCAGCAACGCCGCGUGCGGGAUGACGGCCUUCGGGUUGUAAACCGCUUUCGCCUGUGACGAAGCGUGAGUGACGGUAAUGGGUAAAGAAGCACCGGCUAACUACGUG
Molecule: ribosomal RNA, 468 nt
Filed under: uncultured bacterium
Lineage: Bacteria
Description: partial 16S ribosomal RNA
Rfam family: Bacterial small subunit ribosomal RNA
Source: RNAcentral